Tetranychus urticae (two-spotted spider mite) is the source of this 1142-nucleotide long non-coding RNA. RefSeq lists it as uncharacterized. Lineage: Eukaryota; Metazoa; Arthropoda; Arachnida; Trombidiformes; Tetranychidae. The record is from RefSeq and is a predicted model, not a curated record.
ACAACAAUGUAAAUUAAUUAAAUAAUUAAGUUAGGUAGGAUAUUUGAUUAAUUUAUAUUGAGCAGUUCGAAUCACUAUAAACUCUUAAAUCAAGGAUUAUUUAAUCUAGGGUUCAAGUAAAAAGAUGUUUAUCCUAUGCUACUCAAUCAUUCAUUUGAAAUCAUCGAGACCGCCAUUUUGCUUCUCAUAAAAACAAAGGGUUAAUCUAUGUCUUCUUAAUUUUGGAUUCGCAGUUGAUUUUAAAUGGUUGAUUAUUUAUCAAUUUCUGACUGAAUAUUUUGGGCAUGGGUCAGCUCAUUGUUGUAAAUAAACGUUAAAUUUAAUAUUUUGAACUCAGACCCGGCCAUGAGCAUUGUUUUGAAAAUAAUGCAUAACAAGAAAAAUAAAAUUGCUGUUGAAUGCGUUCGAGUACGAGUCUUAAUAACAAUUUAAUAAAUCCAUUGUAUCAGUGUUGAUUUUGCAAGCACUGAAUCAAACCUAGUAGGCCAAUGGUUUGAAAUGAUGAUCAUUGAGUACUUAAUUCGAUGUCAACAAUUCUGGUUAUGGGUCUAAUCUUAAACCACUUUUGUGUUUAAACUGAAAAAGAUAAGACAAAUGCAAAUUUACGAUUCAUACAAGAGUUUAAUUGAGUUUAUUCAUCUUUUAUGAAAUGCUUGGUUAUUGGAUAGACGUCGACUUAUUAUAAAUUCAUUAUGGUGAUCCAAACUUAUACAAAUAUCUAGUAGUUGGCAGUUGGUUCCGAUUCUCGCAGAAUAAAAUAAAUCAAUAAAAUACAUGGAAGGAUAUUUGAUAAAAAUGAUUUAAUGAUUUAAUGAUAAAAAAGUACGUUCUACGGUCAAAAGAAAAUGAGAUUUUCUUUCAUUUUGCUUUGUUUCUCACUACUUUGAUAAAAGGGAAAUUACAGGAGAAGAGAUUUAACAGUUUAACAUUAUAAAUAGCAAUUAUCAAUUGUAUUAAUAAUAAAUUUAUAACAUUAUUAUUUGUUGUUUGUUUCUUUAAUAAUGGUUGUUUUUGUUAUAUAUAUUUACAAUAAAAUUUGUUUGUUUUACGAAGUAAUUUGGUUUUGUUGCGAAAAAAUUUGUAUUACUUUUUGUCUUGAGAAGGUUUUACAGAAUAUCAAUUUGGAGUAAUAAUAAUCAUAU